AGAGUUUGAUCAUGGCUCAGAAUGAACGCUGGCGGCAGGCCUAACACAUGCAAGUCGAACGAGGUAGCAAUACCUAGUGGCGGACGGGUGAGUAACACGUGGGAACGUACCCUUUGCUACGGAAUAGCCCUGGGAAACUGGGAGUAAUACCGUAUGAGCCCGAGAGGGGAAAGAUUUAUCGGCAAAGGAUCGGCCCGCGUUGGAUUAGGUAGUUGGUGGGGUAAUGGCCUACCAAGCCGACGAUCCAUAGCUGGUUUGAGAGGAUGAUCAGCCACACUGGGACUGAGACACGGCCCAGACUCCUACGGGAGGCAGCAGUGGGGAAUCUUAGACAAUGGGGGAAACCCUGAUCUAGCCAUGCCGCGUGAUCGAUGAAGGCCUUAGGGUUGUAAAGAUCUUUCAGGUGGGAAGAUAAUGACUGUACCACCAGAAGAAGCCCCGGCUAACUCCGUG
Molecule: ribosomal RNA, 453 nt
Filed under: uncultured bacterium
Lineage: Bacteria
Description: bacterial SSU rRNA
Rfam family: Bacterial small subunit ribosomal RNA
Source: RNAcentral